RNAcentral lists this transfer RNA (74 nucleotides) under Canis lupus familiaris (dog). It matches the Rfam family "tRNA". From Rfam's summary of the family: Transfer RNA (tRNA) molecules are approximately 80 nucleotides in length. Their secondary structure includes four short double-helical elements and three loops (D, anti-codon, and T loops). Lineage: Eukaryota; Metazoa; Chordata; Mammalia; Carnivora; Canidae. The record is from Rfam by way of RNAcentral. RNAcentral also lists the same sequence under 2 other names.
GCCUGGUUGGCUCAGCCAGUAGAGCAUGAGACUCUUGAUCUCGGGGGUCAUGAAUUCAAGCCCCAUGUUGGGCA